Molecule: long non-coding RNA, 3397 nt
Organism: Mustela erminea (ermine)
Lineage: Eukaryota; Metazoa; Chordata; Mammalia; Carnivora; Mustelidae
Exons: 3
Source: RefSeq, a predicted model, not a curated record
CCUCUCACCCCUGCGCUGCGGGGAGGGCCCAGCCAGCCGGGCCUUUCAGAGUUAAUUAGCCUUCAUGAAUAUGGAUGCCACCGCCGAUUGAAUACGGUUGAGAGGUCAUAACCUGACCCCGGCGAGGCGUGCAUAAAGAAAAGACUACUUUUCUCGGCUCGGUCCCUAAUUGAAAGCCGAGUUGUCAGGCGCUGCGCCGUGGGUGUGAUCGCCGCCGCCCCGCUUCUCCCGCAGAAGAAACACUUCGCGGGGCCGCUCUCCCCGGCGCCCGGCCCCCAUUAGCAGUCCCUCUAAUGACCUGCAGGUCUGUGCAGGCCGCCCCGCCACCGUCCCCCUGCAAUGUCGCCCUAAUGAUAUCUGCGCUGGGAAUUCAUUCCGAAGCGUUCCUUUUCCACGAUGGUUUUCAUUUCCUGUCAUUUAGAGCUGGAAGCAUUUAUGGAAUAUCACAUGGUUUUCGUUUACACAGGAAAUCAGCUGCAGUUGUGAGAAGAUACCGACUUACUUUUGGUGUUUGUUUUUGGAAAUCCACCCCCGAACUGAGAGGUGGGGGGUGGAGGAAGAGAGAAAACUAACGUGUAGCAUUUUCUUGGGAAACAGUUUUCCUUUUUGAUCCAGAGUCCCUGUUCUCCCGAGUGGUCUGUGAUUAUUCAGAAAGCAGCGGUUUAUUUCUGACACGUGGUAAUCACUUUAUGCGAAGAAAGCCCAGCCAGAAGAAGAGACGCUUUUGCUUUUCGCAGAGCGGAGGCGGGAGCGGCGGGCCCGGCGGGCGCGGGGGCGCGCAGCUGUGCCCAAGCCCCGCCCAAACCCCGCCUCCCGACCUCCGCGCGGGACCAGCCCGGUGGUGGGGGUGGCGGGGGUCCGUGGGCCCUGCGGUCCUCGCAGCGCUGGCCGCACCUUCCGGGCACCACGGCCCUUGCUGCCCCGGCCACUCGCUGGCACCGCUCCGCUUGGACCCGAAAAGAGCGGUGUCUUGCGCCCACCCCCUUCACCCCAAGGACCUUGCCGAGUCGGGCCGUUCUUGACCCAGCCGCGACCCAUCACCCCAGGAACCAGAGAACUGCAGGAGCUGACAACAGAGAUGCGGACUAAUGUGGGAGAGUUUGCGAUUUGUUCUUUAGGCUCCGCCCUCCGGUGGUCACUGAGUUACAGACUCCAGACUCGCCGCACCCCACAAAGACGGCACUCUCUAGUGACACCCCCCGCCCCGCUUCCUUCCCCAGUGUGGCUCCAGCGACUUCUCCCUUUUCCGCCCGGGUUCGGAGGGCAACUAGACGGCCCUGGGCAAUAGCGCCACCUUGUGGGCAUCUCCUCUGCACACGUCUCCUCCGAUCCUUGGCCAGGAUGCUGAACAAUCCCUGCGUGGAAUGGAGACUGCCUUAACAGAUCCAGGGGCCCCAAAACGGAUCCAGGGCUGCAGAGGAACCCCCACCAGGAUUUGUAGUGGAAAUGGUCUCUAUCCCUAGAAUGAGCUGCAAACAGGAUGACAGGUUCUCCUUUCGUGUCAUGUACCAAGACAUUCCACAGUAAGAAACCCAUUCUUAUGAUUUAAGGCUGACCCCCACUCCAACAAAAUGGAAAAUGUCCUAGUAGAGAUAGGAUUUAGGCACUUGUUUCAGAGUGAACUGGUUUGUUACCUUUUCUCAAGGGUAAGAAGGCUCCUAGAGAAGGGAGAAAGCAAAGAGCAGGAGUCCCCCCUUCCCCCUUCCAUGUCCAAGAGGGGCAGGAGCCAGCCCUGUGACCACCCUUCGAGGGCAGGGGGCAGGGAUCACCCAUAUGGUGAGACUAGAGGGUGAUGAGAUGGUGCCUGUGGGAGACAGGGUGGGACAGAGUCCUGUGCACAUUUCGGGGGUGGUAAGGGAGCCUUCAAAGAAUAAUGAGUCCCCCUCGGGCCCCCAGUACCCAGGUGUCCCUCUAUGGUUGCUGGUUAUCUCUGGCAGCUGAGUCCCAUUUAAUGGAGACUCUCAGACAGCCUCACUAAGGCCAUCCUCUUCCGCUGCUCUCCCCCGCCUCUGUAGCCCGUAAAACCAACAGCCAUCUGUGUGAACAUGAGCCCCACGUUUUUAUAGUCUGUCUACUGGCGGCUGCAGGACAAGUAGGGGACAAAAGCUUCUUGCUCCAGCCCUUUCUGUCUCCAGUAUUAAACUGUGUAACACGACCUGUGCUCGGAAACCAAAUAUUCGAGAGGACACCCAGAAGCCACCUGGCUACCACAUCUCUUGAUCAGGCGGGUCACUGGUGAUGUGAAAAUCCCACCUGGGGAAUUUUCUGGGCUUCUGAGAGGUCAGCAGGCAAAGCUCCCUCCCAUGGUACAGGGAGCCUGGCCUCCCGGCUGUCACAGGCAUGUUCCAGAUCUCGGGGUGUGCAGACUCUGUCUCAGUGGGGCCUGGGAGCGGACUGGGGGAGAUGCUGCUCCUUUCCACAGCAGGUGGUUCUGGUCUCCGUCUGAGGCUCUCCCACCUCUUUCCUCCCAGGAACUGCGUUCACCUCAUGUUGCUUGUUACCUAACUGAUGAACUAUCAGAGUCAGCGUGGUGCUUCUCUGAGGCUCUCCAGCUCUGCACUAGCUGGGCCCCCGAGGAGCUCCUGAGAGCAGCCCAUGGCAGGCCCAACGCACUGAUCUGGUAUAUUCUGAGAUCCAUCUUCUCGCUCUCUUGUCUCUCUCUCUCUCUGUCUUCCACACAGCGCUCCUCUUUUUUUCUCCUCUCUCUCUGGAAGUAUGGAGUUUAUUGGCCUCUGCUGGAGGGAAAAACAAUCACAAACUUAAUUACUGUAAGAUCCAAACCCUGCCUGGCUGUUUUUGGUUUCAGGGUGGUUCCCAGUGAAUCACUAGGGCACACCCUCUCUCAGCUUAGGGCUCUUCUGGGUCCCGUUGGCUUGACCACCUGGAAAAUGGGAGGAUUUUCUGAAGGAAGGGCAAGUUUUGAAAGGAAAAACCAGAUGCCUGAGAGCUUCUCUGUCUCCCAACCCCACAGGGGCCCAAGCCAAGCCCAGUCUCACAGGAGAGGGCUGGCAGGAGGCUGUGGCCUCUCCCAGAGAGCGCCUUCCCCUGAAAAGGUGUGGGAGCCACGGAAUUCUUUCUCAAUUUCGGUCUUCGGAAUAUCGUGCACUAGACUUGAAGAGCUGCUCCUAAAGAAGCUCCUGGACAGACCUGCCUGAGGUCACAUGUGGAAGGGCAGAGGCAGUUACUGAAGAACCACACUCGGGCCUCAGGACACCAAGGAGCCUGUGGUGAGACGCCGCUCCCCAGACAGGCGGCCAUCGAGACCCAGUGCUUCGUCCGCUCCCUCCCAGAAAUUCCCCUUCUCUGCUCUACAGCUGUCAGAAACCUUAACUAACUGAAGGAAAUGGAUUCUAUUGCACACAAUCAUAAUUGCCUCCAGUGAAACAAUAAAAAAAAU